Molecule: ribosomal RNA, 443 nt
Filed under: Acinetobacter sp. oral taxon C51
Lineage: Bacteria; Pseudomonadati; Pseudomonadota; Gammaproteobacteria; Moraxellales; Moraxellaceae
Description: bacterial SSU rRNA
Rfam family: Bacterial small subunit ribosomal RNA
Source: RNAcentral
AUUGAACGCUGGCGGCAGGCUUAACACAUGCAAGUCGAGCGGAGCGAGGGUGCUUGCACCUUAGCUUAGCGGCGGACGGGUGAGUAAUGCUUAGGAAUCUGCCUAUUAGUGGGGGACAACAUUCCGAAAGGGAUGCUAAUACCGCAUACGCCCUACGGGGGAAAGCAGGGGAUCUUCGGACCUUGCGCUAAUAGAUGAGCCUAAGUCGGAUUAGCUAGUUGGUGGGGUAAAGGCCUACCAAGGCGACGAUCUGUAGCGGGUCUGAGAGGAUGAUCCGCCACACUGGGACUGAGACACGGCCCAGACUCCUACGGGAGGCAGCAGUGGGGAAUAUUGGACAAUGGGGGGAACCCUGAUCCAGCCAUGCCGCGUGUGUGAAGAAGGCCUUUUGGUUGUAAAGCACUUUAAGCGAGGAGGAGGCGCUCUAGGAUAAUACCCUAGAU